GAGGUUACGGGAAGGAAGGGCGAGUGUGCGCACGCGCGGGCACUCCCCAGCCUCGUACCUGGUUACCUAGGAGACGGCGAGGCGCUCACCCUCCUGGUUUGGGUCGUGCUUCUUUGCUCCAGGCCUUGGCUCAGGCGGCAGGUGGGGGAGAGUAAACGUGUUGACCCAAAGUUGCAACUCCCAAGAAGAAACCUCACGUCGGGUUGCAGGAAAGCAACAAACCUCUACAGGCUGGAGAGGAGAAUGUGUGGGACAAGCAGGGCCUCGUGAUUUCAGCUACUUGCUUGGGCCUUCCCAAGCCCCACUGUGUGGGUUGAGGGAGUCCUUUCCCGGUGACCUCCAAAACAAAGCGUUCGUGUUCUCCAACUCCGCCUCUUUCCUAACUGCUGGCUUUGUUGAACCAAGAUGGCCCACAGUAUGGAGCUGCUGAAAGGACGAGGGGCAACAUGAACAACAAAAUAAGACCACUGGGAGUUCCUGCUGUGGCGCAAUGGCAUUGGCGUCAUCUCUGCAGCGCCAGGAUGCAGGAUCCCUGAGGAUCUGGAUUUUGUCUUUGCUCUGCUCGGGGCCAGGAUCUGGACCAACUCCCUGGCUGUGUGGCUGCAGACCUAUCCCUCCCUCCUUCACGUGCUCCUGUUCCUCUUGCUGUGCUCUUACUGGCGACAUAGUUAGGCACCUACUGGGAGCAGAACUCAGAGAAGAAAGAGACUUAUGAAAGUGAUGGCUGUUUUAAAUUAGAACUGUAGAGUCAUCUUACUUUUUUGUUUUUUUUUUUUUUUUCCCGGCCCCCCGCNCGCAGCAUGCAGAAGCUAUGGGGCCAGGGAUCGAACUAGCACUAUAGCAGUGACAACGCCAGAGCCAGAUCCUUAGCCCCCUAGGCCACUGGGGAACUCCCUAAUGUUUAAACUUUUUAUUGGUGAACAAAUUUCCUACCUUCAAAGAUACAUAAUUUCACAAAUAGAAAUACAUGAAAAAGCUAGUAUUCGUGUUAGAUUUCAGUAAAGAAGUCUUAGGCCCAAGGUGAAGAGGAAUUUCCAGUUUAUGAAUAUAUUUAAGUACCCAAGCUGGCUACCGUGUAGUGUAUAGAGAGCUCUUUUGAAAGGCCUUGAAGGAGAGACUGAAUUUCUAGCUGGCAGGAAUGGUUUGGGUUAAGGAUUUCAUUUCUGUGAUGUUUCUAAUUAAAACCUCCCAGCUCCUCUGGCCGAA
RNAcentral lists this long non-coding RNA (1206 nucleotides) under Sus scrofa (pig). Its description in RNAcentral is "lncRNA (ENSSSCG00025043327.1)". Lineage: Eukaryota; Metazoa; Chordata; Mammalia; Artiodactyla; Suidae. The record is from RNAcentral.